AAAGCAUGGUGAGGUCAUUUCCUAAGUAUUUCCUUAAAUCUCUCCCAACUCUCAUAAAUUAAUUUUCCUUGAAAUUGGGUUUAAAAAGUGAUAUCAUUUUUGAAAGU
This is a small nucleolar RNA of Dendrobium catenatum, 107 nucleotides long. Lineage: Eukaryota; Viridiplantae; Streptophyta; Magnoliopsida; Asparagales; Orchidaceae. The record is from RefSeq and is a predicted model, not a curated record.